RNAcentral lists this ribosomal RNA (718 nucleotides) under Microbacterium aurantiacum. Its description in RNAcentral is "partial 16S ribosomal RNA". It matches the Rfam family "Bacterial small subunit ribosomal RNA", at positions 95 to 827 of the family's 1533-position model. Lineage: Bacteria; Bacillati; Actinomycetota; Actinomycetes; Micrococcales; Microbacteriaceae. The record is from RNAcentral.
GUGGCGAACGGGUGAGUAACACGUGAGCAACCUGCCCUGGACUCUGGGAUAAGCGCUGGAAACGGUGUCUAAUACUGGAUAUGAGCUCUCAUCGCAUGGUGGGGGUUGGAAAGAUUUUUCGGUCUGGGAUGGGCUCGCGGCCUAUCAGCUUGUUGGUGAGGUAAUGGCUCACCAAGGCGUCGACGGGUAGCCGGCCUGAGAGGGUGACCGGCCACACUGGGACUGAGACACGGCCCAGACUCCUACGGGAGGCAGCAGUGGGGAAUAUUGCACAAUGGGCGGAAGCCUGAUGCAGCAACGCCGCGUGAGGGAUGACGGCCUUCGGGUUGUAAACCUCUUUUAGCAGGGAAGAAGCGAGAGUGACGGUACCUGCAGAAAAAGCGCCGGCUAACUACGUGCCAGCAGCCGCGGUAAUACGUAGGGCGCAAGCGUUAUCCGGAAUUAUUGGGCGUAAAGAGCUCGUAGGCGGUUUGUCGCGUCUGCUGUGAAAUCCCGAGGCUCAACCUCGGGCCUGCAGUGGGUACGGGCAGACUAGAGUGCGGUAGGGGAGAUUGGAAUUCCUGGUGUAGCGGUGGAAUGCGCAGAUAUCAGGAGGAACACCGAUGGCGAAGGCAGAUCUCUGGGCCGUAACUGACGCUGAGGAGCGAAAGGGUGGGGAGCAAACAGGCUUAGAUACCCUGGUAGUCCACCCCGUAAACGUUGGGAACUAGUUGUGGGG